Molecule: non-coding RNA, 144 nt
Organism: Myotis davidii
Lineage: Eukaryota; Metazoa; Chordata; Mammalia; Chiroptera; Vespertilionidae
Source: Rfam
UUAUGAUCUAACUAGAGGCUGGUACAUGAAUUCAUGUACAUUGAAAGGAAAUUAAUCAAAAAGGAGCCCAGAGUGACAGUUUUCCUUGAAGGUCACCAUGCUGUUUGCUGUAACCGAUCUGCAACAUUUCAGGAAAAGACAGUU